RNAcentral lists this ribosomal RNA (301 nucleotides) under uncultured bacterium. RNAcentral's name for it is "partial 16S ribosomal RNA". It matches the Rfam family "Bacterial small subunit ribosomal RNA", at positions 509 to 807 of the family's 1533-position model. The record is from RNAcentral.
CAGUCGCCGCGGGAAUACAGAGGGUGCAAGCGUUAAUCGGAAUUACUGGGCGUAAAGCGCGCGUAGGUGGUUUGUUAAGUUGGAUGUGAAAGCCCCGGGCUAAACCUGGGAACUGCAUCCAAAACUGGCAAGCUAGAGUACGGUAGAGGGUGGUGGAAUUUCCUGUGUAGCGGUGAAAUGCGUAGAUAUAGGAAGGAACACCAGUGGCGAAGGCGACCACCUGGACUGAUACUGACACUGAGGUGCGAAAGCGUGGGGAGCAAACAGGAUUAGAGACCCCCGUAGUCCCUGUCUCUUAUAC